CCACUAAGUGAUGAUCACAUCACCUCCUAUAUUCUCGUUGGUCUAGGCCUUGAAUAUGAUUCCAUCAUUACCUCUAUCUCAACUCGAGUAGAACCUAUGUCUCUUGAUGUUGUCUAUGGUCAUCUCCUUACACAUGAAC
Molecule: small nucleolar RNA, 139 nt
Organism: Juglans microcarpa x Juglans regia
Lineage: Eukaryota; Viridiplantae; Streptophyta; Magnoliopsida; Fagales; Juglandaceae
Product: small nucleolar RNA Z247
Exons: 1
Source: RefSeq, a predicted model, not a curated record